ACAGCAGCAGCCACGGUAAUACGAAGGGUGCAAGCGUUACUCGGAAUUACUGGGCGUAAAGCGUGCGUAGGUGGUGGUUUAAGUCCGUUGUGAAAGCCCUGGGCUCAACCUGGGAAUUGCAGUGGAUACUGGGUCACUAGAGUGUGGUAGAGGAUAGUGGAAUUUCCGGUGUAGCAGUGAAAUGCGUAGAGAUCGGAAGGAACAUCUGUGGCGAAGGCGACUAUCUGGGCCAACACUGACACUGAGGCACGAAAGCGUGGGAAGCAAACAGGAUUAGAUACCCCCGUAGUCCCUGUCUCUUAUAC
RNAcentral lists this ribosomal RNA (305 nucleotides) under uncultured bacterium. Its description in RNAcentral is "partial 16S ribosomal RNA". It matches the Rfam family "Bacterial small subunit ribosomal RNA", at positions 506 to 807 of the family's 1533-position model. The record is from RNAcentral.